UUUUAAGAUUGAUUCUGUGGUAUGUGGUGUCUACUUUCGACUUUCCAGUCAAGAGUCAAGUGUCAUGGGACAUGACAGACGACUGUUGACGAUGACAAAUUUAUGAAUACUACAGUUACAAAUUAUAAAUAAUUAUAAGACUUUUAGAAUAAACUCAAAGUUUGAAAAAUUAUUUAUUUGUAGUGCAAGAACAGAAGUAUUUUUAUGAAAAUAUUAUUUAAAAACUCUGCUUUCACCGACAAGAUUCGGAAAUUUAUUGUUAUUCAUCAUCAAUCAAUAUGAUGAUAAUUGACUCCUGAACAAUGGAUCAAAGCAAAAAAGUGACAAAAAUUGCCAUUAGAAAAAAAAUAACUAAUCAUUAACUAACAGAUCAGAAAAUGAAUAACAGAAACGACCGCAGCAAAAUAAGUUUGGGAAUGCUAAAAGGUAAAUCCGCGACUACUUC
This is a long non-coding RNA of Leptinotarsa decemlineata (Colorado potato beetle), 445 nucleotides long. The record is from RefSeq and is a predicted model, not a curated record. NCBI's taxonomy places the organism in Eukaryota, Metazoa, Arthropoda, Insecta, Coleoptera, Chrysomelidae.